CCUACGGGUGGCAGCAGUGAGGAAUAUUGGUCAAUGGCCGAGAGGCUGAACCAGCCAAGUCGCGUGAGGGAAGACGGCCCUACGGGUUGUAAACCUCUUUUGUCGGGGAGCAAAGCGAACCACGUGUGGUUCAUUGAGAUUACCCGAACCAAAAGCAUCGGCUAAAUCCGUGCCAGCAGCCGCGGUAAUACGGAGGAUGCGAGCGGUAUCCGGAUUUAUGUGGUUUAAAGGGUGCGCAGGCGGAGGUGCAAGUCAGCGGUCAAAUUGCGGGGCUCAACCCCGUACUGCCGUUGAAACUGCAUCCCUUGAGUGCGCGAGAAGUAUGCGGAAUGCGUGGUGUAGCGGUGAAAUGCAUAGAUAUCACGCAGAACUCCGAUUGCGAAGGCAGCAUACCGGCGCGCAACUGACGCUCAUGCACGAAAGCGUGGGUAUCGAACAGGAUUAGAUACCCGGGUAGUC
RNAcentral lists this ribosomal RNA (459 nucleotides) under uncultured bacterium. RNAcentral describes it as "partial 16S ribosomal RNA". It matches the Rfam family "Bacterial small subunit ribosomal RNA", at positions 338 to 795 of the family's 1533-position model. The record is from RNAcentral.